This 445-nucleotide ribosomal RNA is filed under the name uncultured organism. Its description in RNAcentral is "partial 16S ribosomal RNA". It matches the Rfam family "Bacterial small subunit ribosomal RNA", at positions 334 to 796 of the family's 1533-position model. The record is from RNAcentral.
CACUCCUACGGGAGGCAACAGUGGGGAAUAUUGGACAAUGGGCGCAAGCCUGAUCCAGCCAUGCCGCGUGAGUGAUGAAGGCCCUAGGGUUGUAAAGCUCUUUCACCGGUGAAGAUAAUGACGGUAACCGGAGAAGAAGCCCCGGCUAACUUCGUGCCAGCAGCCGCGGUAAUACGAAGGGGGCUAGCGUUGUUCGGAUUUACUGGGCGUAAAGCGCACGUAGGCGGACUAUUAAGUCAGGGGUGAAAUCCCGGGGCUCAACCCCGGAACUGCCUUUGAUACUGGUAGUCUUGAGUUCGAGAGAGGUGAGUGGAAUUCCGAGUGUAGAGGUGAAAUUCGUAGAUAUUCGGAGGAACACCAGUGGCGAAGGCGGCUCACUGGCUCGAUACUGACGCUGAGGUGCGAAAGCGUGGGGAGCAAACAGGAUUAGAAACCCUUGUAGUCC